CAUUGAAAGUCAGAAUAUAAAAGAGUAGCUUUUACAUUUAUAUGAAGUCAUCUCACUCAAAAAAUGUCUUGUGUGUACACACUGUGCGAUCAAUUUAAUCUGGUCAAAAUUCCAUUUAAGUCGCUGCAGAAAUGUUAUCGAAUAACACUUCUGAAUUUUACGUGGAAGAAAUGUCCGUGUUUUCCCAAAUACUCGUGGCCUCAUGAGGACUCCAACUCUCAAUAUCGAUGCAAGCACAAGGACAAAGACAUGGUGUCUGUACAUUCACGUCCCUCGUCAGAGGUGCAAGACAACGCGAAAAGAGGAGAUCAGAGCGAGAACACGCCUUCCAGUGGAUGCUACUAAUCCCGCCUAGAGUGAUGCAGUCUCCAUGGCGACCGCAGUUUCCUGGGUAACCCCCCUAAUGUUGCCAUGGCAUCUCUCUGUUUCCACAGUAACCUUCCAGAUGGUUCGGAAGCCUGACCUGAGAAUUUCGCUUUCAAAGACUAGUUUUGAAAUGUUAAAAGAACCAUGAUACAAACGCAAAUUCAUACAUAUUUGUGUGCAUCCAAAUUCACUGAUCAAAAUUAAGUCAUGUCAAGUAAUUAUUGACACAUGUAAAAAAUGUAACCACAGUUCAAAUUAAGAAUGUUAUUAUAAGUAAUAUAAAAUGAGUAAGUCUGCUAUUUUAGAUACUGCAUCACCGGGUAUGGCAGCCAGGCCAUUGGGCAGCGGUAUACUGUGGAUUAAAAUCAUUGUAAGAAAACUGAACCGGAGUGACAUACAUCUGUGACACGUGGAAGAAAGUGAAAACACGCAGUUCUCAUGGACGAAUGCACACCAGGGCAACACCCAGCGUUCACGGAAGGGAAGAUACUGGGAAUUGUGAAUGGGGACGGAACAGGCCGUGUUUUAACAUCGCGCAUUCGCAAGGGGCUGCUGUACACCGUCAAAUGCGAGAGGGAGAUGAUGUCACCAGGCCCUGAGGCAAUGGAAUGAGUCAGUGAUUGUAACCCUCCUGGUGUUCCUACUACCAUGAGAAACAGCCAGUGGAUCCAAGGGCGGAGGCGGAUGGACCCAGAAGGACCUCAGCCCAGAAGGAACCCCAGCUCCUUCACACGCAACCCCUCCCCCACGCAGACCAUCCUCUCUGGAACGAGGAGUAAGCGGGAGCGGAGAGAUUUGCUCCCCUUCGCAGCCCUUCAAGGGCGGAGCCAUCAACAGCCUCUCUCUUUCCCCGCCACCUCCCACAUGAAAGGGAAUGACCGCGCCCACAAAGGACAACAUCCUAUCUCCUGAACUGUUCCUACCCGCACUGACUGCAGCCCCUACUGUGAACAGGAGUGCCUCCCCCAUACAGCGCGCUGUCUGUGGCCAUGGAAGUGGCAUGGCUCUCUCUCAAACCCCUCCCAACCCCGUGCAAGCCACAACGUGUUUACUGUCAACGCAUAACUGGAUCACCGUGCACCAGCCUUGGCCUGUUGGAGUCCUUCCUGCCUCUGUUCCUGCCUCGCCAUGGGGGUGUCUAACUGGGGCAUGUAGCAGCCCAUGCAGGGGUCUCCGAUAGGCUCGUGCUCGGUGGAGGCUAUCGGCGUUCAUAUCAGGCUGAUUGAUCCCAUCAGCUGCUAAGACGGCCCUGCCUGAAAUCGGAAUUCCAUUAGAGCCGGCCGGUGUGAUGGCUGGCUUCAUUUCAGGGGGGGAAAGUGCUCGUUCAGACAGGCAGGCUGGAAAGCAACUCUCCCACCAGGACCCAAGGACAAUUAGAGGUUAGACUGCAUCGAGCGCAGAGAUGCUCCUUCACUGGAGAUCAGCUGUCUAUGCUAGAGCAGUCAGGGUGGCAGAGCUCUCUCUCUUUCUCUCUCUCCCCCUCUCUCUCUCUCUCCCUCCCUAUC
Megalops cyprinoides (Indo-Pacific tarpon) is the source of this 1871-nucleotide long non-coding RNA. RefSeq lists it as uncharacterized. The record is from RefSeq and is a predicted model, not a curated record. Lineage: Eukaryota; Metazoa; Chordata; Actinopteri; Elopiformes; Megalopidae. The transcript is spliced from 3 exons.